This 253-nucleotide ribosomal RNA is filed under the name uncultured bacterium. Its description in RNAcentral is "partial 16S ribosomal RNA". It matches the Rfam family "Bacterial small subunit ribosomal RNA", at positions 524 to 776 of the family's 1533-position model. The record is from RNAcentral.
UACGGGGGGGGCAAGCGUUGUUCGGAAUUACUGGGCGUAAAGGGCUCGUAGGCGGCCAACUAAGUCGGACGUGAAAUCCCCAGGCUCAACCUGGGAACUGCGUCCGAUACUGGAUGGCUUGAAUUCGGGAGAGGGAUGCAGAAUUCCAGGUGUAGCGGUGAAAUGCGUAGAUAUCUGGAGGAAUACCGGUGGCGAAGGCGGCAUCCUGGACCGACAUUGACGCUCAUGCACGAAAGCGUGGGGAGCAAACAGG